Molecule: long non-coding RNA, 624 nt
Organism: Oncorhynchus tshawytscha (Chinook salmon)
Lineage: Eukaryota; Metazoa; Chordata; Actinopteri; Salmoniformes; Salmonidae
Source: Ensembl
UGUAGUGUCUCUCUCUUUAUGUAGUGGUGUAGUGUCUCUCUCUUUAUGUAGUGUUGUGGUUGUCUCUCUCUUUAUGUAGUGGUGUGGUGUCUCUCUCUUUAUGUAGUGGUGUGGUGUCUCUCUUUAUGUAGUGGUGUGGUGUCUCUCUCUUUAUGUAGUGGUGUGGUGUCUCUCUCUUUAUGUAGUGGUGUGGUGUCUCUCUCUUUAUGUAGUGGUGUGGUGUCUCUCUCUUUAUGUAGUGGUGUGGUGUCUCUCUCUUUAUGUAGUGUUGUAGUGUCUCUCUCUUUAUGUAGUGGUAUAGUGUUGUCUCUUUAUGUAGUGGUAUAGUGUCUCUCUCUUUGUAGUGUUGUAGUGUCUCUCUCUUUAUGUAGUGGUAUAGUGUUGUCUCUUUAUGUAGUGGUAUAGUGUCUCUCUCUUUAUGUAGUGGUAUAGUGUUGUCUCUUUAUGUAGUGGUGUAGUGUCUCUCUCUUUAUGUAGUGGUAUAGUGUUGUCUCUUUAUGUAGUGGUAUAGUGUCUCUCUCUUUAUGUAGUGGUAUAGUGUCUCUCUUUAUGUAGUGUUGUAGUGUCUCUCUUUAUGUAGUGGUAUAGUGUCUCUCUUUAUGUAGUGUUGUAGUGUCUCUCUUU